GGGUGGGUAGCUCAGCUGGAUAGAGCGCUGCCCCCGGGCUUGGUCGCCAUGCCGGCCCGGUGAGGCAGAGGCGCAGGUUCGAGUCCUGCCCCCUCCU
Molecule: transfer RNA, 97 nt
Filed under: Methylobacterium nodulans ORS 2060
Lineage: Bacteria; Pseudomonadati; Pseudomonadota; Alphaproteobacteria; Hyphomicrobiales; Methylobacteriaceae
Description: tRNA-Und (NNN) (tRNA-Und-NNN-1-1)
Rfam family: tRNA
About the family: Transfer RNA (tRNA) molecules are approximately 80 nucleotides in length.
Source: Rfam by way of RNAcentral